UGCAGAUGAUGUGAAACCAAUAUUUGCUGUCUGAUCCUGAAACAGAUGACAAACCACCAAGAUCGCUGAUGCA
Callorhinchus milii (elephant shark) is the source of this 73-nucleotide small nucleolar RNA. Its record names the gene SNORD24. It matches the Rfam family "Small nucleolar RNA SNORD24". From Rfam's summary of the family: U24 is a member of the C/D class of snoRNA which contain the C (UGAUGA) and D (CUGA) box motifs. The record is from Ensembl. NCBI's taxonomy places the organism in Eukaryota, Metazoa, Chordata, Chondrichthyes, Chimaeriformes, Callorhinchidae.